AUCGAUUUUCUUGGGAGUGCUAGCUCGCAUGAAGACCUUCUUCUUAACUGAUCUGGAUUCUUUCUUCAAAUCUCUGAAACUUUUAUAGAGAUUGAAGAUGAACUUCUAGAGAAAAUGAAAAGGUGAAAGAUAGAGAGAAAAUAAUUUUUCUCUUAUUUUUUCUCUCUUCCCAAACCCUGAUGACCAAAACCCUAGAAACCUGAUUUUGGUGCACACCCCAAGAGAAGAGGACUCUUCUCUUCUUUCACGUCAUAAAACCACACCCAAGA
Molecule: long non-coding RNA, 269 nt
Filed under: Elaeis guineensis (African oil palm)
Lineage: Eukaryota; Viridiplantae; Streptophyta; Magnoliopsida; Arecales; Arecaceae
Description: long non-coding RNA (EGUI_LNC057360)
Source: RNAcentral